This 492-nucleotide ribosomal RNA is filed under the name uncultured bacterium. Its description in RNAcentral is "partial 16S ribosomal RNA". It matches the Rfam family "Bacterial small subunit ribosomal RNA", at positions 29 to 507 of the family's 1533-position model. The record is from RNAcentral.
AGUGAGCGCUGGCGGUAGGCCUAACACAUGCAAGUCGAACGGCAGCACAGUAAGAGCUUGCUCUUACGGGUGGCGAGUGGCGGACGGGUGAGGAAUACAUCGGAAUCUACUUUUUCGUGGGGGAUAACGUAGGGAAACUUACGCUAAUACCGCAUACGACCUACGGGUGGAAGCAGGGGAUCUUCGGACCUUGCGCGAUUGAAUGAGCCGAUGUCGGAUUAGCUAGUUGGCGGGGUAAAGGCCCACCAAGGCGACGAUCCGUAGCUGGUCUGAGAGGAUGAUCAGCCACACUGGAACUGAGACACGGUCCAGACUCCUACGGGAGGCAGCAGUGGGGAAUAUUGGACAAUGGGCGCAAGCCUGAUCCAGCCAUACCGCGUGGGUGAAGAAGGCCUUCGGGUUGUAAAGCCCUUUUGUUGGGAAAGAAAAGCAGCAGGUUAAUACCCCGCUGUUCUGACGGUACCCAAAGAAUAAGCACCGGCUAACUUCGUG